Molecule: long non-coding RNA, 286 nt
Filed under: Pongo abelii (Sumatran orangutan)
Lineage: Eukaryota; Metazoa; Chordata; Mammalia; Primates; Hominidae
Description: lincRNA
Source: RNAcentral
AUCAUACCACUGCAACUCAGCCAACCAGCACAUCGGACAGUGGGAGGAGGAAUUCUUGGCUAAGAGUACUGAGAGAUGGGGUUUCACCAUGUUAACCAGGAUGGUCUCAAUCUCCUGACCGCGUGAUCCACCUGCCUCAGCCUCCGAAAGUGCUGGGAUUACAGGCGUGAGCCACCAUGCCUGGCCAAAAUUCUCUAUGUCUUUCUAAUCUCACUUCCUAAUAGAGAUAAAGUAGAUCUCAGGCUUAUGUAUUUUUCUAGAACAUUAAAAUCUUGUUUUUUGUGUA